CCUACGGGAGACAGCAGUGGGGGAUAUUGCACAAUGGGGGGAACCCUGAUGCAGCGACGCCGCGUGGGUGAAGAAGCGCCUCGGCGCGUAAAGCCCUUUCAGCAGGGAAGAAACUGACGGUACCUGAAGAAGAAGCCCCGGCUAACUACGUGCCAGCAGCCGCGGUAAUACGUAGGGGGCAAGCGUUAUCCGGAUUUACUGGGGGUAAAGGGGGCGCAGACGGCGAUGCAGGCCAGAAGUGAAAGCCCGGGGCCCAACCCCGGGACUGCUCUUGGAACUGCGUGGCUUGAGUGCAGGAGGGGCAGGCGGAAUUCCUGGUGUAGCGGUGAAAUGCGUAGAUAUCAGGAGGAACACCGGUGGCGAAGGCGGCCUGCUGGACUGCAACUGACGUUGAGGCCCGAAAGCGUGGGGAGCAAACAGGAUUAGAUACCCUAGUAGUC
RNAcentral lists this ribosomal RNA (440 nucleotides) under uncultured bacterium. RNAcentral describes it as "partial 16S ribosomal RNA". It matches the Rfam family "Bacterial small subunit ribosomal RNA", at positions 338 to 795 of the family's 1533-position model. The record is from RNAcentral.